Molecule: long non-coding RNA, 421 nt
Organism: Chelonia mydas (Green sea turtle)
Lineage: Eukaryota; Metazoa; Chordata; Testudines; Cheloniidae
Exons: 3
Source: RefSeq, a predicted model, not a curated record
GACUCCCACUCUUCUCCCGUUCUUUAUCUUGUUUGUUAUGUUAAGCAGUUUUGUUACACCCUAAGAGUUGUUAAAGUCAGAAGAGAUAUGUGUCCAAAUCAAGCUGGAGAAUGCAUGUGAAUGGUUAGGAGUUCCAGCCUAAGAGUUACCACUUCAGUAUCGAUUGGCCGAAGAAUGCGCUAAGUGGAGCUAACCGGAUGACCCCCGGAGGGCAGACUGGAACCCACCCAACAGCCUCAAGGAUGGGAGACCCAAAGAACAAGAUAACAUCUGGCAGCACGGAGCCGUCAGCGAUGCGCCACCUGCUGAUGGAUUCAGCAACAGCAUGAUGAAGCCACCUCCAUAGACUGGCCUAGGAAUAAAACUCCGAUAAAAACAGACCCUAAAGACGAAGGACUUUGAGGUCUGAUUCUGGCAAACC